UCCUUUCAGAUGAUCAUUCCCGGGUGAGGCUGCAGACAAUUGAAGGAGACACCAACUCAGACUAUAUCAAUGGAAAUUAUAUCGAUGGUUAUCAUCGACCCAACCAUUAUAUUGCUACCCAAGGGCCCAUGCAAGAGACCGUCUAUGACUUCUGGCGGAUGGUGUGGCAUGAGAACACUGCAAGCAUAAUAAUGGUGACCAACCUUGUGGAAGUGGGAAGGGUAAGCUGGCCGUGCACCACUAUAAAUGCCCUUCUGUUCUUUGCUUAAUUAGUAAUAAAAAGUAAGGCAUGGGCCAACCUCCUGAAGUAUUGUAUCUGCUCCACAAAACAGUACCUACUCCAGCUCCUCCUAUCACUUGCUUCUCUUGCUUAUAAAUUACCAGUAAACAUAGCCUGAAUCCCGAAUUGCUUUUAUUUGCAACAGACAGGAAAAGCACUCAAUAUU
Molecule: non-coding RNA, 446 nt
Organism: Castor canadensis (American beaver)
Lineage: Eukaryota; Metazoa; Chordata; Mammalia; Rodentia; Castoridae
Source: RefSeq, a predicted model, not a curated record